RNAcentral lists this ribosomal RNA (483 nucleotides) under uncultured bacterium. RNAcentral's name for it is "partial 16S ribosomal RNA". It matches the Rfam family "Bacterial small subunit ribosomal RNA", at positions 28 to 523 of the family's 1533-position model. The record is from RNAcentral.
GACGAACGCUGGCGGCGUGCUUAACACAUGCAAGUCGAACGAUGAUGCCCAGCUUGCUGGGUGGAUUAGUGGCGAACGGGUGAGUAACACGUGAGUAACCUGCCCCUGACUCUGGGAUAAGCGUUGGAAACGACGUCUAAUACUGGAUAUGACUGCCGGCCGCAUGGUCUGGUGGUGGAAAGAUUUUUUGGUUGGGGAUGGACUCGCGGCCUAGCAGCUUGUUGGUGAGGUAAUGGCUCACCAAGGCGACGACGGGUAGCCGGCCUGAGAGGGUGACCGGCCACACUGGGACUGAGACACGGCCCAGACUCCUACGGGAGGCAGCAGUGGGGAAUAUUGCACAAUGGGCGAAAGCCUGAUGCAGCAACGCCGCGUGAGGGAUGACGGCCUUCGGGUUGUAAACCUCUUUUAGUAGGGAAGAAGCGUAAGUGACGGUACCUGCAGAAAAAGCACCGGCUAACUACGUGCCAGCAGCCGCCGUAA